AUGCUUCUCCGACCCCGCCCCUUCCUCCUGCAGGCCCUCACGCCUCUUCCCUUCUCCCGCGGCCCCCUCGCGGUCCGCCGCACGCUCUCGGCGCACGCCGCGGCAGCUGGGGCCGCCCCCCGCGGCGAUGCUCCCGCGCCGGCGCGAACCCGCCACAAGAACUCCCGGAAGGCCGAGCCGCCUAGGUUGCCCGCGGAUACGGCGCUGUUUUUCCCGCCGGGGAUAGACCGGGACGCGGCUGUGGCGGCGGAGAUGUUGAUUCCGGGGUCGAACAUCGUGGUGGGGCCGUACGCCGGGGACGCGAGGGUAAAGGAGGCUGAGUUCAUCGGGUGCAGCGCGCACGCCCGGGACUGCCCCAAGGACGACCGUCCCGAGUUCGCCGUCCUCGGCCGCUCCAACGUCGGCAAGUCCUCUCUCAUCAAUACACUCACUCGACGCAAGGAAGUCGCACUCACCUCCAAGAAACCUGGGAAGACUCAAACAAUUAACCACCAUUUGAUCAACAAGAGUUGGUACCUUGUGGAUUUGCCUGGUUAUGGGUUUGCAGCUGCGUCCAAGACAGCUCGAACGGAUUGGUCUUCAUUUACCAAGGGGUAUUUCUUGAACAGGGACACUUUGGUCGGUGUACUGCUCCUUGUUGAUGCUAGUGUUCCAACUCAGCAAAUUGACCUUGACUGUGCUAACUGGCUUGGUCGUAACAAUGUCGGGCUAACCUUUGUCUUCACCAAGUGCGACAAAGUAAAGAAAGGCAAAGGGGGUCGGCCUGAUGAGAACAUCAAAGUAUUCCUGGAGAACAUCGGUUCGCUCUAUCCAAAGCCUCCUCCAUGGAUCAUGACGAGCAGCACCACAGGACUAGGCCGCGACGGGCUGCUCCUCCAUAUGUCGCAGCUGAGGAACUACUGGGACAAUGAGGCAACCUAG
RNAcentral lists this ribosomal RNA (921 nucleotides) under Triticum aestivum (bread wheat). Its description in RNAcentral is "partial small subunit ribosomal RNA". The record is from RNAcentral. Lineage: Eukaryota; Viridiplantae; Streptophyta; Magnoliopsida; Poales; Poaceae.